Molecule: long non-coding RNA, 6530 nt
Filed under: Lynx pardinus (Iberian lynx)
Lineage: Eukaryota; Metazoa; Chordata; Mammalia; Carnivora; Felidae
Source: RNAcentral
AGGUGAAAACCUUUUUUUGAUUGGCUGAGGGCAGGGUAUCAAAUCUGAAUUUGCAUUUCACUUGCUUAAAGGGGAGGGGGGGAGAAGCCCAGCAGCUUUCUAAAAUCUGUUUAGGGGUGUGCGUAUGCUCCUGUGUCUGUGCCUGCUUUUGACUGACCAGGUGAAGCCUCUUCCUAUGCCUUUUUUAUUUCAAGCACUCAGAGGAAGAGGAGCUCCGGGUUCCCCAAACUUUUUUUUUUUUUUUUGGAGUAGGAAGGGUUGGAGAGAUGGGUGCGCAGAGGGUUGACCAAACUGGAAGGAAGUAUUUGUCCUUUAGUUUGGUGUCGGAAAAGGGAAUUUUCCAAUCAGCCACACCUCGGUGUUGCGGCACAAUCAUUCUUGGCUCCCCUGGAAACGCACGGGGCAAGGUAGGACAGAUCUGCUGCUGCUGACACUGCCACCACCAUGGGCUUCCUGCUGCCUCUGGGCUGCUCCCUGGGGACGACAGAUUUGCAUUGACGGGGCUGUCCAGAGCUGAGCCCAGUGUGGGAAAGACCUGCCUUCUGGAAGCUGCUGCUCCUUGGUCUUGGAAAGGUGAGGAUGGGGACUGACCCCAGGAUGUUGCUCAGAAACUGCGCAUUUGGUGGGAUUUCCGGGAGAGCCACUGGGCCGCAAGAGGUUUGGAGGUCCCAGGUUAGGAAGGUUUGUCAUUCUGGGGAGUGAGGAGAGUGAGAGCAAAACUAGGGCAGCAGGCUGUUCGCCUGUGGUUGGGGGAGGGAGACUUGGAAAAAUCAGGGUCCCGGCUCCCCAUCGAGUCCGUGUUGCAGGUCUCACGUUUGUGGGGAGGGGGUUUCAGAGCCCUGCGCCUUGCGCAGUGGCCCCCGCCCAUGACUGCGCAUCCGGGAGCGCAAUGCGCCCUGGGUCGCUGGCCUAGGACAGCACCGCCCUUCUUCUUACAUAACGGAGGCACGGCUGUGCCUUCUCGGCCUUUCUUUGCAACCCUGCCUCCUGGCUCCCCAGGGCCCAUGGAGCUGGGGAGGGUCUGGUUGGGGAGCAGGGGAAGACUUGGCUCCCUCGGAGGGUUAGCCCUCGUCCAGUCAGUGAUGGGAGUUGGGUUUGAAGACAGAAGUGGGCUGCUGUCCCCCUUGGGAGGUGGUACGCAGAAUGUCCUUCUCAAUGCCCUGUGUCACCCAUGGCCCCCAGGACCUCUCGGGGGCAUGGGGUGUGACGUCCGUUCUUUCCUUCUUAUGCUUUCUGGGUUUUGAGAGGAAGUUUCUGAAGGGAAAGACAUGACGAUUCUAAGAGUGAGGAAGGGUGUGUGUCGGGGGCCCAGUUGGGAGGUGGUUGACAGUUCACUCCCCUUGUCACUGGCUUCCCUUUCCUUGGGUGGGUUGAUAGUGUUUUUGACUCCUUUUAUCCUAAGGCUGCCAUUUUGGAGGCAUUUCUGCUGGUCUCUGACAUGGUGGCGUUGGUUUUUCUGGUCCUGCUGUGCCAGUUCCGCAGAGUGGGCGGGGGGCGGGGGCUGUGACGGAGGAGGGGAGGGGGGGCAGAAGCGCAGCAGAGGCGGGCCCAGUGGUGGCUGCCGCAGUGAAGGUGGCCCCAGGGGCAGGACCGCCCAGUCCCACCCUCGGACACAGUCUUGGGUGGGGGUUCCACCACCUGGGGCCCCGGCUUGGCCAGAGGGUGGGCAUUGCUAACAGAAGGCCUGGGUCUCCCAUGCCCUCGUUGGCCUGAGGCUUAAAGCAGUCCAGGGCAGAAGCUGAGUUUUUUUGGGGGGGGUGUGUGUGUGGAGGGGGCGACUGAAGGCAGAGACCUGGCUGCUCAUCUCAGACGUGUCGGACCUGUGGUUUGUGUUCCCCAAAUAGGCUCUGUCUCCGACAGUUUCUCUAUGGGGACAAGGGGGUGGGGUCCAAGGCAGCUUUGAGGAUUUGUUCGAUGGCCCUCCCUUCUCAUUGUUUUUCUUUUCUGCUCCUCGUCAUGCCCCCUGCCAGUGCCAUGGUUCCAGCUGUAGUCCUCCGGUGAGGCUCCCUGCUGCCCGUCCCUCUCCUUUCCAGGCCCUUCUGCGUGCAGCGGCCAUCUUGUCUUUUCUUGCUUAGAGGUUUAAAAUGGUUUCUCAUCAUUUCCAGAGUACAAUUCCUUCCCUUUGGCACAGUGCUGAGGACUGUCUGUAACUAGCCUUAGCUCUCCUCUGCAGUCUUACUCUUCUGCGUUUCCCCAGGUGGACCACGUAUUCCAACAAAGCCAGGCAACUCACUUUUUCUUGCUUUUCCUAUCUCUCGGUUUUCCCUACUGGUAUUUUCCAUGCCUCCUUGGCUCCACCGCACCCACCUGCGGCAGCCCCACCGUCCUCCUUGGACCUUUCCCGAUCACCUUCACAAGCAGCAGUCCUCGUAACCUCUCCUUGCUCCCUCCGGCCAAGCUCUCGUACACUUUGUCCCUCUCGUGUGCUACUUCGGUGGCCUUACGGCUCUUGGUGUAGAAGUCUUGGGUCACCUACGAGAUGAUGAGCUGCAAGACGCUGAGAGUCAAGGAAGGAAGACACUUAACCUAUUUGGUGCCUUCUGUUCGCCAGGUGCCACGUCAGGCUGUUCCACGGACCUUCUUUCAUUUACUGCUUUCCACAACCCUCCGAGGAGAGUCCCGUGACUGGUAAGUGUUCUGAUCAUGAUUAGAACCCCUGUUUCCCCAAACCUUUGCCUUCUUCUUUACCUCUCAGUUCUCAGUGUCUGCCACGUGGCUCUUACAAGGUAGAUCCCCAGAACGUGCCUGUUUAAGGAAUUUCAUACACCUCUAAUGCCAUAUGGGAGUUUGGGUGGCCGCUCUUCCUGUGCCCGAGGUCUGGGUCUCGUAGCUGUUCCACGCUCCCCUGGACCCUGCUACCUCGUUAACUUUCUCCUCUUCCUUUGCGGUCAGGUUCACUCAAGAUGAUGGCUUUUUUUUUUUUUUGUAGCUGAAAUUUUGUUGGAUUAACAAACCUCAGUUAUCCUACUUACCUUCCUCCUGGAAGAGAAGGUGGAGGUGGGAUGGUUGUAGUACCUUCAGAGCAGAGUGAGCUCCAGAACCCAGGAUCAGUGGAGAUCGGACAAGGCAGGGAGCAGGACCAUUGCACUUGGAUCUUGACCCUGCCUCAUCUUGUUAGGUGGUUUUUCUGAGGCUUAGUGACCUCAGUCAGUGACAUGGAGCCACUGUAAUCUACAGUGAAAUGCCUAAUAUAUUGCCAAGCAAACAGGCUCCUGACAGAAAGUGGUGCACCUCCCUUUCCCCUGCCCAGCUGUUUUAUCGGGGACUUAAGAAGAGUACGUAGCAGGUGGCUGGAGAAGGAAUGGGGGGAAGGGAGCUUGCCAGCCUUCAGUGAUACCAGAGGCAGGGGAGGAGGUGACCGGGCAUUGCACACCUGAAGCCUGCGAGGAAGUGCUUUUCCCUGACCUGGAGUAAAGACCCCCUUAACUUCUGCAUCGGGAAAACGCUGUGGGACCAGAGCCGUGAGGUCAGGGUGGGUGGUGGCAGCGUGAGGGUUAACCAGUGAUCCUUCCUGGGAGCCUCGUGACGCCAGGUUAGCUUCCCCUCUUUCCGAAUCGAAUCGCAGCAGUGGCUGCCUGCUUCCUGACGCUGCUGCAUCCCGUGGGAGGGGAGUUGGGCACCCUGAAGCCCCUCGUCACCGAUUCCGGGGCUGCAGAGCAGAGAGUGACGACAGCCCAUGAGUCGUCAGCCGACGGCAAUGGGGACCCUGGUGACGGCUGCUUUGUUGUGUUUUUCCUCUUUGGAUGAUGACUCAGUGUGUCGGGAGCUGGGAGAUGGGGCACUCAGCCGAAUGGCCAGGACGUUCUGUCAACAUGAAAGCAGCAAAAACAGCUUAUCGGGGCUCAGAGCCGACCCUUAGGCUGGGUUCAUUUUCGGGAAGGGCUUGGCAGAGAAGAGCACUUCUGGACAUCGGGGGUGGGGAGACAAGGCCAGGUAACCCAACAGGGGUCUGUGGACCCUUCAGUUUCAGAAACCAAAAAGAAAAUGCAGCUGCUUGUGUUAUUAGAUAAGCUUGGCAAACGGUCAUUUUACAAGCUCCUCUCACCCGUCCCAAACAAGAGACAUCUUCUCAGGGCCAGAAAACCCUCCGGGAUUUCUCACCAUGGCUCAUUGUCAUAGAUGGAGGGUGAGCCCGUCUCGGGUAGGGUGGGCCUGGGAGUCCUUAGUGAUCACUGGCAUUCCGGGGCCCCGGAAGCAAGAGCCCAUGGUGGGGACGUGGCGUCUCAGGUGACCUCUGCUGGCAUCACACCAGCAGACGGUGUCACCCACCAGAAGAUGGUGGGUCCACGUCACCGGCCUCAAGCCGAAGGCCAGCUCUGGCGCAGCCUACUUCAGCCUCCCCUUUCCUUAUUGUCCCGAGUCAAACUUACCUUCUCGCCUUUCAUCGUCCUCAAUUCCUUCUUAGGUGAAAUAGUGGGCCUUGAGUCCUUGACCUUUGUGUGUGUGUGUGUGUGUGUGCGUCAUCAUGGCGGCUCAGGGUUCUAGACUUUUCUUGAAUCUGCAGCAUUGCGCUAAGGGCGCGUGACAUUCCCCCCCGCCCCGCCCGCCCGGCCCCGCCCAACCAUGGCCAGCCAUGCCUUCUUGGGAGCAAGAGAGGCCUGGGCCUCCAUUGCCACUGAAUCUCAGGCAAACCACUAUCCUCAGCAUCUGGCUUCCCUUCUCUCCUCUGUCUCCCUCGGCCCUUGUCUGGGGACAGAGGAGCAAACAACUUGUGGGUGGGGAAUUGAGGACGGCCUGGCCCAGGACCACCCUGCCUAUGUACCCCUUAGGCCAUUUUUCAGUCUCCUGCUUUCCCAUAGAUGAUGCUUAGCACUGACAUUUGUCGCCGAGCACCUCCUCCGCUCCCCAAGGACCUCCCAGUGUGACUCAUUUGGGAUCUCUGCAAGGAGUGGCUUUGGGGCCUUGGGAGCCAGGGGGAGCAGGAAGACCUGGUGGAGGUCACAGUGGAGAGGUACGCAGGGCAAAGGACGAGAGCCGGCUGUCCCUGGCCCAGAAUGCAAAGGCAGCCCCAGCCCCUUUGUGUCAUGUCAUUUUGAGCCUGAAUAGAGAGCAACUUGACCUAAAAAAAAAAUCGUAUAUAUGUGGAUGUUAGAUCCUUUGUGUCUCUUUGUCCAGAAGCUGCGCAUAUGACGAGGGCUCAGAUUCUGUACUUCAGAGAGCUCUGCUGUCCCUCAGGUUUGUUUUCCGAAGGAGGUGGUAGUUCCUCUUUGAUGAGACCCUGUGCCCACGGGGACUGGACUUUUCUCCAGGACAAGGGGCACAGCCUUGUCUUGUUGCUAUCAUUGGAUAGUGAGCAGCAGCUGAAGACCAUGGUCCCGGGGCCACAUAUUAGCCCCAGAUGGAACCCUGAUUGGGGCUUGCAGAAUUCAUUGCUUGGCUGGCUGGCCCCAAGAGCUGAGCCUACCUGGCUUCCUUUCACUUCUUCCCCACUGAGAACUCAGAGGAGUUGAGCUCCAUGAGUCGGUGACAGCCUCUUGGAGACUCAGGCUAAGCUGGGGACAGAGCUGGUGUGCAGAAGACAGCCAUCAUACCGCCUAAUAGAAUGGCUUGCAUUUAUUUGGAACGAAAAAAGGAGAUGCCUGGCAGCCUGGCUUUCUGCAGCUAAGUAUUCGUCUGCAUUCUGGUUUUCCGUCACACAUCGGAAGCGAUAGAUGUUCAUUGAACCCACCCAGCUGCCGUGACUUCUCCUUUCCCCGCGCACCCCUGCCCCUGAUCCUCCAGCAGAGAUUGGAUUUUCUGGUGCGGCUGGAGAGCUGCAGAGAGGCUAGAUCCCAGUGUCCAGCCCCCGCACAUCGCCCUCACAUUCAGGAGAAGUCGAUUUUCCCUAAAGCGGAGCCUAAAGCCCAUGUCCCUCAGUGCGGUGUUAUUAAUGGGCCGACGGGAAGGGCCCUGCUUGCCCUCACUGCCCCCAGCGGGGAGGUGAGGCUCUCGGCUGGCUGGCUGGGGGAGGACGGUCCUUGCCAGCAUCUAGCAUGGUUCUCUGCCAAGUUCUAGCUCCAAAUCUCUAGGCCGCUAGGAACCUAGACUAUAUAUAGCAUUGUGCUAAGCAAUUCUUAUCGGACAUGUCUGCCCUCCCCUGCGGGAGAGGAGCCCUUCUCCCAGGGAACCGGAACCUAGAGAGUGUGAGCCUUCUCCAAGGGGUCUUUCGUUCCAGGAAGGGCUGUGUGUGUGUGUGUGUGUGUGUGCGCGCGCGCGCGCGUGGCUGUGUCUGCUUCAGGGCUGCCAAGCUUUCUUUCCUUUUCCCUGUUUCAGAUGCUGCGAGAUCGGAAGGUCUGAUUGGGAUGAGGGCCAGGAGGUUCUUGAUGGUGUGCGAUGUGGCCUAUGGCGUCCACCAGCCUCCCGCAUGUCUUCUUGGUUUCCUGUUUGCCUUCUUUGCCCAAGGAGGUCUUCUGACCUCUUGAGCUUCUUUUGGAUCUCCUGUCUUCCCUGCCCUCCUCUACCUCUUCCUCCUCCUUCCUUUGAUUCUCUUUCGGGUAUGUGACGGCAGACUGGGCUACGGGCAUCCGGGAGCUGUGUCUGCUCGCCGCCCU